RNAcentral lists this ribosomal RNA (404 nucleotides) under uncultured bacterium. Its description in RNAcentral is "bacterial SSU rRNA". It matches the Rfam family "Bacterial small subunit ribosomal RNA", at positions 355 to 776 of the family's 1533-position model. The record is from RNAcentral.
UCGGGAAUAUUGGACAAUGGGCGCAAGCCUGAUCCAGCAAUACCGCGUGUGUGAAGAAGGCCUGCGGGUUGUAAAGCACUUUCAGUUGGGAAGAUAAUGACGUUACCAACAGAAGAAGCACCGGCUAACUCCGUGCCAGCAGCCGCGGUAAUACGGAGGGUGCAAGCGUUAAUCGGAAUUACUGGGCGUAAAGCGUGCGUAGGCGGCCUGUUAAGUCAGAUGUGAAAGCCCCGGGCUUAACCUGGGAACUGCAUCUGAUACUGGGAGGCUAGAAUGUGGGAGAGGAGAGUGGAAUUUCCGGUGUAGCGGUGAAAUGCAUAGAGAUCGGAAGGAACACCAGUGGCGAAGGCGGCUCUCUGGACCAACAUUGACGCUGAGGCACGAAAGCGUGGGUAGCAAACAGG